GACGAACGCUGGCGGCGUGCCUAAUACAUGCAAGUAGAACGCACAGUUUAUACCGUAGCUUGCUACACCAUAGACUGUGAGUUGCGAACGGGUGAGUAACGCGUAGGUAACCUGCCUGGUAGCGGGUGAUAACUAUUGGAAACGAUAGCUAAUACCGCAUAAUAUUGAUUAUUGCAUGAUAAUUGAUUGAAAGAUGCUAUUGCAUCACUACCAGAUGGCCCUGCGUUGUAUUAGCUAGUAGGUGAGGUAACGGCUCACCUAGGCGACGAUACAUAGCCGACCUGAGAGGGUGAUCGGCCACACUGGGACUGGGACAAGGGUCAAACUCCUACGGGAAGCAGCAAUAGGGGAUCUUCGGCAAAGGAGGAAAAGCUGACCGGGCAACGCCGCGGGGGUGAAGGAGGUUUUCGGAUCGUAAAGCUCUGUUGUAAGGGAAGAACGGGUGGGAGAGUGGAAAGUGCACGCUGUGACGGUAUCUUACCAGAAAGGGACGGCUAACUACGUG
This 505-nucleotide ribosomal RNA is filed under the name uncultured bacterium. Its description in RNAcentral is "partial 16S ribosomal RNA". It matches the Rfam family "Bacterial small subunit ribosomal RNA", at positions 28 to 507 of the family's 1533-position model. The record is from RNAcentral.